RNAcentral lists this ribosomal RNA (722 nucleotides) under uncultured microorganism. Its description in RNAcentral is "bacterial SSU rRNA". It matches the Rfam family "Bacterial small subunit ribosomal RNA", at positions 57 to 758 of the family's 1533-position model. The record is from RNAcentral.
GCAAGUCGAGCGCGAAAGCCCCGCAAGGGGCAAGUAGAGUGGCAAACGGGUGAGUAACGCGUGGGUGACCUGCCUUCGAGUGGGGGAUAACGUUCCGAAAGGGACGCUAAUACCGCAUGACAUCCUGCCUUUGAACAGGCGGAGAUCAAAGCUGGGGAUCGCAAGACCCGGCGCUUGGAGAGGGGCCCGCGUCCGAUUAGCUAGUUGGUAGGGUAAUGGCCUACCAAGGCAACGAUCGGUAGCCGGCCUGAGAGGGCGGACGGCCACACUGGGACUGAGACACGGCCCAGACUCCUACGGGAGGCAGCAGUGGGGAAUUGUUCGCAAUGGGCGCAAGCCUGACGACGCAACACCGCGUGGAGGACGAAGAUCUUCGGGUCGUAAACUCCUGUCGAGCGGGACGAAUGAUCCGCGGGGUAAUACUCCGCGGAAGUGACGGUACCGCUAAAGGAAGCCCCGGCUAACUCCGUGCCAGCAGCCGCGGUAAUACGGGGGGGGCAAGCGUUGUUCGGAAUUACUGGGCGUAAAGGGCUCGUAGGCGGCCAACUAAGUCAGACGUGAAAUCCCUCGGCUUAACCGGGGAACUGCGUCUGAUACUGGAUGGCUUGAAUCCGGGAGAGGGAUGCGGAAUUCCAGGUGUAGCGGUGAAAUGCGUAGAUAUCUGGAGGAACACCGGUGGCGAAGGCGGCAUCCUGGACCGGCAUUGACGCUGAGGAGCGAAA